AAAAAAAAAAAGUUAAGUAGCCUGGUAGGGCUUUGACGAGCGUCAAAACUCCCCUCUAUCUACGAAGCUUCUUUCUUCCAAGCUUCGUAUCUCUCUGACGACGACUCCACCUUCUUGGCUCUCUCCGACGAGUCGUCGACUGCUUCCGAGGGAUCGUCUCUCUCCGACGAUCCCUUUAGAGCUCUUGUCUCUUUCCAAGCUAGGGUCUGGCUUCGAAGACUCCUCCAGCUUCUUGUCUCUCUGACGAGUCGACGAUCCCUUCCAAUCUCUGAUAUGCCUCCGACGGCCCCUUCUAGCGUCUCAUCUCUCUCCGGCGAUCCAUUCGAACCUCUCAUAUCUCUCCAGCGAUCCUUUACAGCCUCUCGUCUCUCUCCAUGACCCCAUACAACCUCUUUGCUUCGAGUAUUCAACUCUCGCUCUCUCUAGUGUUUUUCGUAGCAGACUCCCACGAGACUCUUUGCCAGUGUCUCUAAAACUCAAUUUAGCUGCAGCUGAUUUUGAUUUGUUCAGUUUUCCCUUUUCAUUUUUCAAUUUUCAGUUUUAAUUUCCUGUUGGUGCUGCUGAUUGUUCCUAUUCAAUAAACAAAAACAUGUCCAAAGUGCAGAGAAGGGGAUAACAAGGGAGCUCAAGCUGCCUAUCAAUUUUUACAUGCUAAAAUUAUACAUAGUCUUCUGGAUGCAGUUAUUAAGCAUGGAAACCUGGAACGUUGGCCGGUCAAUUACCAGAAGAAAGGUGCAGUCACAAGCAUUACUGAUGUUGUACUUGGUAGAUUGUGCUGUGUGUGCAUAUGCACAAUGCAAGUUUAGUUUUUUUUUCAUAGCAACUUGGUACUUAUUUUGCAGUUCUAAGUCAACUGGUUUUUCCAUGUCUGCUAUUAGGAUUAUUGGUUACUUUGUUGAAACUGCAGUGAAUUGUAGGUAGAAUUUUCUGGCAUUUUGUUUGUGCAUUUCUGUCACCAAAGAUUUGAGUCCCUUGUUCUGUGAUUGUGAGAUUUUACUAUGAUUUACUCUUCAAUCCAUAGGACAACCCCAAUUAUUCACCCAA
This is an RNA transcript of Malania oleifera, 1044 nucleotides long. RefSeq lists it as uncharacterized. The record is from RefSeq and is a predicted model, not a curated record. NCBI's taxonomy places the organism in Eukaryota, Viridiplantae, Streptophyta, Magnoliopsida, Santalales, Ximeniaceae. The transcript is spliced from 3 exons.